This 390-nucleotide ribosomal RNA is filed under the name uncultured bacterium. RNAcentral describes it as "bacterial SSU rRNA". It matches the Rfam family "Bacterial small subunit ribosomal RNA", at positions 28 to 419 of the family's 1533-position model. The record is from RNAcentral.
GACGGACGCUGGCGGCGUGCUUAACACAUGCAAGUCGAGCGGUAAGGCCCUUUCGGGGGUACACGAGCGGCGAACGGGUGAGUAACACGUGGGUGACCUGCCCUCAGCUCUGGGAUAAGCCUGGGAAACUGGGUCUAAUACUGGAUAUGACUCCACGGUGCAUGUCGUGGGGUGGAAAGCCUUGUGCGGCUGAGGAUGGGCCCGCGGCCUAUCAGCUUGUUGGUGGGGUGAGGCCUACCAAGGCGACGACGGGUAGCCGGCCUGAGAGGGCGACCGGCCACACUGGGACUGAGACACGGCCCAGACUCCUACGGGAGGCAGCGGGUGGGGAAUCUUGCGCAAUGGGCGAAAGCCUGACGCAGCGACGCCGCGUGAGGGAUGACGGCCUGG